GGGGCCAUAGCUCAGUGGUAGAGUGCUUGCCUAGCAUGCAUGAGGCACUGGGUUCAAUCCCCAGCACCA
RNAcentral lists this transfer RNA (69 nucleotides) under Ictidomys tridecemlineatus (thirteen-lined ground squirrel). RNAcentral's name for it is "Spermophilus tridecemlineatus (thirteen-lined ground squirrel) tRNA". It matches the Rfam family "tRNA". Rfam says of the family: Transfer RNA (tRNA) molecules are approximately 80 nucleotides in length. Their secondary structure includes four short double-helical elements and three loops (D, anti-codon, and T loops). Further hydrogen bonds mediate the characteristic L-shaped molecular structure. tRNAs have two regions of fundamental functional importance: the anti-codon, which is responsible for specific mRNA codon recognition, and the 3' end, to which the tRNAs corresponding amino acid is attached (by aminoacyl-tRNA synthetases). tRNAs cope with the degeneracy of the genetic code in two manners: having more than one tRNA (with a specific anti-codon) for a particular amino acid; and 'wobble' base-pairing, i.e. permitting non-standard base-pairing at the 3rd anti-codon position. RNAcentral also lists the same sequence under 1 other name. Lineage: Eukaryota; Metazoa; Chordata; Mammalia; Rodentia; Sciuridae. The record is from Rfam by way of RNAcentral.